Non-coding RNA from Columba livia (rock pigeon), 46 nucleotides. Lineage: Eukaryota; Metazoa; Chordata; Aves; Columbiformes; Columbidae. The record is from Rfam.
UAAAUGGAUCUUCUAAGAUCCAUUAAAUAUUAAUUUUCAUGAGCUU